AGUAGCUCCUUGCUAGAGCAAGGAGACCUCCAACGCGAACUUUGGCGGAUAGACAAGGAUGAGUUUAGCUCUUCAUUUGCAACCAUGCGAUUCAACCUUGUCCAACUGUUUUCUCAGAAGCCGCAAAACACUAAACUACGGAAGUUGGUAGUUGAUCUUGAGGCUCCCAGGUUUGAUAGUGGAGGAUUGUUCAGCCAAGACC
Triticum dicoccoides is the source of this 202-nucleotide long non-coding RNA. RefSeq lists it as uncharacterized. The record is from RefSeq and is a predicted model, not a curated record. The transcript has 3 exons. NCBI's taxonomy places the organism in Eukaryota, Viridiplantae, Streptophyta, Magnoliopsida, Poales, Poaceae.